RNAcentral lists this ribosomal RNA (432 nucleotides) under Smaragdina reyi. Its description in RNAcentral is "partial 16S large subunit ribosomal RNA". It matches the Rfam family "Bacterial large subunit ribosomal RNA", at positions 1819 to 2523 of the family's 2925-position model. The record is from RNAcentral. Lineage: Eukaryota; Metazoa; Arthropoda; Insecta; Coleoptera; Chrysomelidae.
GGCCUUUUGAAUUUAAUUUAAGGUCUGACCUGCCCAAUGAGGAUUAAAUGGCCGCGGUAUUUUGACCGUGCUAAGGUAGCAUAAUCAUUAGUUUCUUAAUUAGAAACUGGAAUGAAAGGUUUAAUGAGAAAAUAGCUGUCUCUUGAAUUUUAAUAGAAUUUUAUUUUUAAGUAAAAAAGCUUAAAUUUUAUUGUAAGACGAGAAGACCCUGUAGAGUUUAAUAAAUCAAUUUUGUUAAUUAUUUUUGUGAUUUAAGUCGAUAAAUGAAGUUAUUUAUUUAGUUGGGGUGAUUGAGAAAUUUAAUUAACUUUUUCUUAUCUUUACAUUAAUUAAUGAUUUUUUGAUCCAAUUUUUUUGAUUAUAAGAUAAAAUUACCUCAGGGAUAACAGCGUAAUCUUUUUUUAGAGUUCUAAUCGAUAAAAGGGGUUGCGA